Molecule: ribosomal RNA, 499 nt
Filed under: uncultured Glomeromycotina
Lineage: Eukaryota; Fungi; Glomeromycota
Description: partial small subunit ribosomal RNA
Rfam family: Eukaryotic small subunit ribosomal RNA
Source: RNAcentral
CCAAUAGCGUAUAUUAAAGUUGUUGCAGUUAAAAAGCUCGUAGUUGAAUUUCGGGAUCAAUCUAUCGGUCGUGCAAUAGUACGUACUGAUUUUAUUGAUUCCUCUCUUCUGAUGAACUAUGAUGUCAUUAAUUUGGUGUCAUAGGGAAUCAGGACUGUUACUUUGAAAAAAUUAGAGUGUUUAAAGCAGGCUCACGCUUGAAUACAUUAGCAUGGAAUAACGAAAUAGGACGUUUGAUUCUAUUUUGUUGGUUUCUAGGAUCGACGUAAUGAUUAAUAGGGGUAGUUGGGGGAAUUAGUAUUCAAUUGUCAGAGGUGAAAUUCUUGGAUUUAUUGAAGACUAACUACUGCGAAAGCAUUUGCCAAGGGUGUUUUCAUUAAUCAAGAACGAAAGUUAGGGGAUCGAAGACGAUCAGAUACCGUCGUAGUCUUAACCAUAAACUAUGCCGACUAGGGAUCGGAUGAUGUUAAUUUUUUAAUGACUCAUUCGGCGCCUUACG